Molecule: unclassified non-coding RNA, 252 nt
Filed under: Hevea brasiliensis (rubber tree)
Lineage: Eukaryota; Viridiplantae; Streptophyta; Magnoliopsida; Malpighiales; Euphorbiaceae
Source: RNAcentral
UGCUUUUCUUGGAGAUCUUACAGUCUAUAAAUGUAGCCACACUAGAAUCUAUCCCAAUUUUUGCGAACCUUAUAUAUGAUUACUGCCAUUAGAGUCACUAAAACAAUAUCCAAAUGUUACUGUGUUCACACAAGCAAGCAGUUCCCAAAUGAAAAGUGCCCAUGCAUCAUCAGUAAACCAGUCAAAUUGGCAAUAGAAUAAAAGAUUUCGAUGGUAAAUUCCACUCACCAGAUAAAUCUAUGGAUACAUCAU